This 300-nucleotide ribosomal RNA is filed under the name uncultured Hyperthermus sp. RNAcentral describes it as "bacterial SSU rRNA". It matches the Rfam family "Bacterial small subunit ribosomal RNA", at positions 496 to 795 of the family's 1533-position model. The record is from RNAcentral. Lineage: Archaea; Thermoproteati; Thermoproteota; Thermoprotei; Desulfurococcales; Pyrodictiaceae.
UCUAACGACGGGCCAGCGGGAGCGGGAAUACGUAGGGUGAACGCGUGAAUCGGAAUUACUGGGCGGAAGGCGUGCGCAGGCGGUUCUAUAAGACAGAUGUGAAAUCCCCGGGCUCAACCUGGGAACUGCAUUUGUGACUGUAGAGCUGGAGGGCGGCAGAGGGGGAUGGAAUUCCGCGUGUAGCAGUGAAAUGCGUAGAUAUGCGGAGGAACACCGAUGGCGAAGGCAAUCCCCUGGGCCUGCACUGACGCUCAUGCACGAAAGCGUGGGGAGCAAACAGGAUUAGAUACCCCAGUAGUC